UGCAAGCUGAUCCCCUUCGGGGGUGACGCUUGUGGAAUGAGCGGCGGACGGGUGAGUAACACGUGGGCAACCUGCCUGUAAGACUGGGAUAACCCCGGGAAACCGGGGCUAAUACCGGAUAAUACUUUCUUUUGCAUAAAGGAAAGUUGAAAGGCGGCUUCGGCUGUCACUUACAGAUGGGCCCGCGGCGCAUUAGCUAGUUGGUGAGGUAACGGCUCACCAAGGCGACGAUGCGUAGCCGACCUGAGAGGGUGAUCGGCCACACUGGGACUGAGACACGGCCCAGACUCCUACGGGAGGCAGCAGUAGGGAAUCUUCCGCAAUGGACGAAAGUCUGACGGAGCAACGCCGCGUGAGUGAUGAAGGUUUUCGGAUCGUAAAACUCUGUUGUUAGGGAAGAACAAGUUGGGUAGUAACUGACCCAACCUUGACGGUACCUAACCAGAAAGCCACGGCUAACUACGUGCCAGCAGCCGCGGUAAUACGUAGGUGGCAAGCGUUGUCCGGAAUUAUUGGGCGUAAAGCGCUCGCAGGCGGUCCUUUAAGUCUGAUGUGAAAUCUCGCGGCUCAACCGCGAACGGUCAUUGGAAACUGGAGGACUUGAGUACAGAAGAGGAGAGUGGAAUUCCACGUGUAGCGGUGAAAUGCGUAGAGAUGUGGAGGAACACCAGUGGCGAAGGCGACUCUCUGGUCUGUAACUGACGCUGAGGAGCGAAAGCGUGGGGAGCGAACAGGAUUAGAUACCCUGGUAGUCCACGCCGUAAACGAUGAGUGCUAGGUGUUAGGGGGUUUCCGCCCCUUAGUGCUGAAGUUAACGCAUUAAGCACUCCGCCUGGGGAGUACGGCCGCAAGGCUGAAACUCAAU
RNAcentral lists this ribosomal RNA (865 nucleotides) under Oceanobacillus sp. 2B-E1-28. RNAcentral describes it as "bacterial SSU rRNA". It matches the Rfam family "Bacterial small subunit ribosomal RNA", at positions 56 to 905 of the family's 1533-position model. Lineage: Bacteria; Bacillati; Bacillota; Bacilli; Caryophanales; Bacillaceae. The record is from RNAcentral.